Non-coding RNA from Notechis scutatus (mainland tiger snake), 218 nucleotides. The record is from RefSeq and is a predicted model, not a curated record. NCBI's taxonomy places the organism in Eukaryota, Metazoa, Chordata, Lepidosauria, Squamata, Elapidae.
GCUGAUUGGGCGGAGAAGAGUCAGGGAGCCAGUUGGAUCUUUUCGUGUUGAGAAGCGACGGAGCAUCGCUGAAUUAAUAGCCUGAAAGUCGGGAGUGGCGUGCAGGUUGAAGAUGUCUCAAAAGGAGAAAAAAAGGAAGGGAUUUCGGCAGAAACCGCCACCGAUCCUCAAGUAUUUACAGGGUAUCCUUCGCAAAUACCCGGAUGGAGGGCAGAUAU